Molecule: long non-coding RNA, 682 nt
Organism: Oreochromis niloticus (Nile tilapia)
Lineage: Eukaryota; Metazoa; Chordata; Actinopteri; Cichliformes; Cichlidae
Exons: 2
Source: RefSeq, a predicted model, not a curated record
AGCCUGGUUCUGCCGGAGGUUUCUUCCUGUUAAAAGGGAGUUUUUCCUUCCCUAUGUUGAAGCUGAGCCUCACAUCCUGAACCUCUCUGUGGUGGAGACGCCCUGUGGCUCAGACUGCGCCCCCUGGAGGCUGCAGUGUGAAGCUGAAGGCAACCCGCUGCCUAAGAUUGUGUGGCUUUUGCCCUCCAGAUACAUGUUAGAGAACAAAGAUGAGACCUCAAAGUCCAGCCCGUACCAUGUGACCAGCUGUGUGCCGUACCUGGAGGAGGAGGAGCUCACCUGCAGGGCGGAGAGUGCACUGACCCACACAGAGAGGACGUAUCCAACCAGAGAGCCUCAGUACCCAGUAAAAAUCCAGUCAAAUCCUGACUAUAUAAAAUAUCCCGGACCAACUCCAAACGAGUCACAAAUUAUUCAGGGUUUCAUCGUUUUUUAGCAGAACGCUCAAACAGAAACUGUGACAUGCAAACUGGACGAUGGAUCGUCCAUGGAGGGUGACUGAGGGGCUGCGCUAAGGCCCGGUGUGAGAUACAGUAGGAUUACUUUGAACUAUGAAUUAUGCAAAGCUGCUCUGGCAGCUUUUUGUAUUAUUGUUACAAUAUUUUACCUUACAAUAAAAAAACUCAUUUAUAUAGCGCCAAAUCACGUCUGUUGUUGCGAUUUGGUGCUACAUAAAGCUGAA